GACGAACGCUGGCGGCGUGACUAAUCCAUGCAAGUCGAGCGAAGCGGCGGAUGGGUGAGUAACGCGUGGGUAACCUGCCCUUCAGUCUGGGAUACCAUUUGGAAACAGAUGCUAAUACCGGAUACUAACGGAUGGACCUGCGAUGCAUUAGGUAGUUGGUAAGGUAACGGCUUACCAAGGCGAUGAUGCAUGGCCAGGUUGCGAGACGGAUCGGCCAACUUGGGACUGAGACACGGCCCAAACUCCUACGGUAGGCAGAAGUAGGGAAGCUUCCACAAUGGACGAAAGUCUGAUGGAGCAACGCCGCGUGAGUGAAGAAGGUUUUCGGAUCGUAAAGCUCUGUUGUGUGUGAAGCGGUAAUCAACCAGAAAGUCACGGCUAACUACGUGCCAGCAGCCGCGGUAAUAC
Molecule: ribosomal RNA, 408 nt
Filed under: uncultured bacterium
Lineage: Bacteria
Description: partial 16S ribosomal RNA
Rfam family: Bacterial small subunit ribosomal RNA
Source: RNAcentral